GUGGGGUAAUGGCCUACCAAGGCGACGACGGGUAGCCGGCCUGAGAGGGCGACCGGCCACACUGGGACUGAGACACGGCCCAGACUCCUACGGGAGGCAGCAGUGGGGAAUAUUGCACAAUGGGCGGAAGCCUGAUGCAGCGACGCCGCGUGAGGGAUGACGGCCUUCGGGUUGUAAACCUCUUUCGCCAGGGACGAAGCGUAAGUGACGGUACCUGGAGAAGAAGCACCGGCCAACUACGUGCCAGCAGCCGCGGUAAUACGUAGGGUGCGAGCGUUGUCCGGAAUUACUGGGCGUAAAGAGCUCGUAGGCGGUUUGUCGCGUCGAUCGUGAAAACUUGAGGCUCAACCUUAAGCUUGCGGUCGAUACGGGCAGACUUGAGUACUGCAGGGGAGACUGGAAUUCCUGGUGUAGCGGUGAAAUGCGCAGAUAUCAGGAGGAACACCGGUGGCGAAGGCGGGUCUCUGGGCAGUAACUGACGCUGAGGAGCGAAAGCGUGGGUAGCGAACAGGAUUAGAUACCCUGGUAGUCCACGCCGUAAACGGUGGGCGCUAGGUGUGGGUUUCCUUCCACGGGAUCCGUGCCGUAGCUAACGCAUUAAGCG
RNAcentral lists this ribosomal RNA (604 nucleotides) under uncultured Actinobacteridae bacterium. Its description in RNAcentral is "bacterial SSU rRNA". It matches the Rfam family "Bacterial small subunit ribosomal RNA", at positions 252 to 866 of the family's 1533-position model. Lineage: Bacteria; Bacillati; Actinomycetota; Actinomycetes. The record is from RNAcentral.